GGCCCAAUGGUCUAGUGGUAUGAUUCUUGCUUUGGGUCGGCUCGUUCGCCAAAGUGCAAGAGGCCCCGCGUUCGAAUCGCGGUUGGGCCC
This is a non-coding RNA of Dissoconium aciculare CBS 342.82, 90 nucleotides long. NCBI's taxonomy places the organism in Eukaryota, Fungi, Ascomycota, Dothideomycetes, Mycosphaerellales, Dissoconiaceae. The record is from the annotation of a RefSeq genome assembly.